RNAcentral lists this ribosomal RNA (750 nucleotides) under uncultured Actinomyces sp. RNAcentral's name for it is "bacterial SSU rRNA". It matches the Rfam family "Bacterial small subunit ribosomal RNA", at positions 28 to 776 of the family's 1533-position model. Lineage: Bacteria; Bacillati; Actinomycetota; Actinomycetes; Actinomycetales; Actinomycetaceae. The record is from RNAcentral.
GACGAACGCUGGCGGCGUGCUUAACACAUGCAAGUCGAACGCUGAAGCCCAGCUUGCUGGGUGGAUGAGUGGCGAACGGGUGAGUAACACGUGAGUAACCUGCCCCCUUCUUUGGGAUAACGCCCGGAAACGGGUGCUAAUACUGGAUAUUCACUGGCCUUCGCAUGGGGGUUGGUGGAAAGGUUUUUUCUGGUGGGGGAUGGGCUCGCGGCCUAUCAGCUUGUUGGUGGGGUGAUGGCCUACCAAGGCUUUGACGGGUAGCCGGCCUGAGAGGGUGACCGGUCACAUUGGGACUGAGAUACGGCCCAGACUCCUACGGGAGGCAGCAGUGGGGAAUAUUGCACAAUGGGCGAAAGCCUGAUGCAGCGACGCCGCGUGAGGGAUGACGGCCUUCGGGUUGUAAACCUCUUUCGCUCAUGGUCAAGCCGCAACUGUGGUUGUGGUGAGGGUAGUGGGUAAAGAAGCGCCGGCUAACUACGUGCCAGCAGCCGCGGUAAUACGUAGGGCGCGAGCGUUGUCCGGAAUUAUUGGGCGUAAAGGGCUUGUAGGCGGUUGGUCGCGUCUGCCGUGAAAUCCUCUGGCUUAACUGGGGGCGUGCGGUGGGUACGGGCUGACUUGAGUGCGGUAGGGGAGACUGGAACUCCUGGUGUAGCGGUGGAAUGCGCAGAUAUCAGGAAGAACACCGGUGGCGAAGGCGGGUCUCUGGGCCGUUACUGACGCUGAGGAGCGAAAGCGUGGGGAGCGAACAGG